AAAAGAUCAAGAGCAGUGCAGCUGGGUCCUUUACCAGAAAGGGAGAAAGUUGUGCCUGCUGUCUGUGGCCACAGAGCUGCAGCCACACAUGAGCAUCACAUGGAAAAUGUGGGAGAGCCUUGUCUGAUAUUCAGCCUGCAGAAAGCCCAGAUUUAAGGCAGUCUUAAGAAAAGACAAGAUGGCUCAGUCCAGAGACUAAAACUGGCUUCACUUCCCCACUGAUGUUCUUCCCUUCUGUUGAUUUCUCAACUUGAGGCAGUAUGAUUGCUU
Vidua chalybeata is the source of this 270-nucleotide long non-coding RNA. RefSeq lists it as uncharacterized. NCBI's taxonomy places the organism in Eukaryota, Metazoa, Chordata, Aves, Passeriformes, Viduidae. The record is from RefSeq and is a predicted model, not a curated record. The transcript is spliced from 3 exons.